Molecule: long non-coding RNA, 587 nt
Organism: Sorghum bicolor (sorghum)
Lineage: Eukaryota; Viridiplantae; Streptophyta; Magnoliopsida; Poales; Poaceae
Exons: 2
Source: RefSeq, a predicted model, not a curated record
GUCCAGGUUGCGCCAGCAGCUAGUUCAUCCUCUCGUCUGCUAGCUGGUGCCGGAUCGUCGUCCAGCAGCGCGGUGAACUCAACGUAGGCGGCGGCCAGCAGCCGGCCGGAUCCAGGCGGCGGCGGCGGCACGGGCGGUUUAAUUUAAGGGCGCGCGCGAUCUCGAUCGGCCGGGAUGAAGUCGGAGAUACUGCCUGCAGGUACGCACUACACUAUCCGACUAUUGAUCGCUCCUCCGAUCCUCCGCUCGGCCUUUGCGAUUUGAAUUCGAAUGAAUGAAUUAUUUUGAAUCGUCUGGCUAAAAAGUCCAUAUAUAUGCGUUGUAUAUAUAUAUGAGUACGUACGUGCUGCGAUCGAUCCUCUCGGGUUUCAUUCAGCUUGCAUGCGGUUCAUUAUUUAUUUAUUUCCUUCUCCGAGUGUGCGAGGAGGACCAGAGUACUUCUAAGUGAAUCUUGUAAAACUCUAGUAGGAUUUCCUUAGUGAACAAUGGACCAAUCCGAUCCAAACUAUACUAGGUACGGGAGAAUUUCCUGAAUCUUGUAAUUUUUUUUUCCUGCAAAAUUGAACUGAUUUCUACAGAAUUUCUGC